UACGGAGGGAGCUAGCGUUAUUCGGAAUUACUGGGCGUAAAGCGCACGUAGGCGGCUUUGUAAGUUAGAGGUGAAAGCCUGGAGCUCAACUCCAGAAUUGCCUUUAAGACUGCAUCGCUUGAAUCCAGGAGAGGUGAGUGGAAUUCCGAGUGUAGAGGUGAAAUUCGUAGAUAUUCGGAAGAACACCAGUGGCGAAGGCGGCUCACUGGACUGGUAUUGACGCUGAGGUGGCGAAAGCGUGGGGAGCAAACAGGG
Molecule: ribosomal RNA, 255 nt
Filed under: uncultured bacterium
Lineage: Bacteria
Description: partial 16S ribosomal RNA
Rfam family: Bacterial small subunit ribosomal RNA
Source: RNAcentral